GUAAAUCAUGGUAAAAAUGCAUAUAUUAUAUAUGCUACAAAAUUUUAAUACUACCAAUACCUAUAUUUCUGGAGCGAGUACUAUACGCAUUGUUGCAUAUAGUACUGUUGAUCUUCCAGGUUUAAGUUAACGAAGGAGUUUGAAUUCUUCUUAGCGGAUGAAAUUUGAAAUUUUGAUGGUUGAAAAUUGAAUGAAAAUUUGAGGGGCUAAAGAUGAGUCAUGGAUGCGUGGGGACAAAUUUUAAGGGAACAGACAGUACACAUCAUCACAAACCUACAGUGGUGACCAAAAAUCAGUCACCCAAGGACAGCACCGUUUAAUCGCUCACCUCACCCGGCCCGGCCCCACCUCCCACCACCUAAUCCAACACACUGGCCCAGCCACUGAGGGCAGGGGCCCACCUGUAAGAGGCUGGCGGAUGGGCCCGCCGCCCUGUCAGGGCUCGCCGACGCCGUCCCACGCGAGGCCCAGGCGGCCGCCCUCCUGCAGCGCGCGGAGCAGCUGGGCGCCCUUGCGCCGN
RNAcentral lists this long non-coding RNA (520 nucleotides) under Oryza brachyantha (malo sina). RNAcentral's name for it is "long non-coding RNA (OBRA_LNC001540)". Lineage: Eukaryota; Viridiplantae; Streptophyta; Magnoliopsida; Poales; Poaceae. The record is from RNAcentral.